Ictalurus punctatus (channel catfish) is the source of this 593-nucleotide long non-coding RNA. NCBI's taxonomy places the organism in Eukaryota, Metazoa, Chordata, Actinopteri, Siluriformes, Ictaluridae. The record is from Ensembl.
CCGAAAUCUGCAUUCUGAUUCGGUCAGGUACAUUCCCGGUCAUAUAGGUACCAGUGCUAUAUUGGCACCGGGUCUCGGUACCCAGCCCUACUGGUGAUCUUCAAACAAACAAACAAAAAACUCUCAAACAGAUACUGGUGAUUUUUAAGCAAAAAAACCUAAAACAGGUACUGGUGAUCUUUAAACAAACAAACAAACAAAAAACUCAAACGGGUAUUGGUGAUCUUUAAACAAACAAAUAAACAAACAAACAAAAACUCAAACGGGUACUGGUGAUCUUUAAACAAACAAACAAACAAACAAACAAACAAACAAACAAACAAAAAACUCAAACAGGUACAAGUGAUCUUUAAACAAACAAACAAACAAACAAACAAAAAAACAAACAAACACUCAAACAGGUACAGGUGAUCUUUAAACAAACAAACAAACAACAAAAACUCAAACAGGUACAGGUGAUCUUUAAACAAACAAACAAACAACAAAAACUCAAACAGGUACAGGUGAUCUUUAAACAAACAAACAAACAACAAAAACUCAAACAGGUACAGGUGAUCUUUAAACAAACAAACAAACAACAAAAACUCAAACAG